Molecule: ribosomal RNA, 253 nt
Filed under: uncultured bacterium
Lineage: Bacteria
Description: partial 16S ribosomal RNA
Rfam family: Bacterial small subunit ribosomal RNA
Source: RNAcentral
UACGUAGGGGGCAAGCGUUGUCCGGAUUUAUUGGGCGUAAAGAGCUCGUAGGCGGCUUGUCACGUCGGAUGUGAAAGCCCGAGGCUUAACCUCGGGUCUGCAUUCGAUACGGGCUAGCUAGAGUGUGGUAGGGGAGAUCGGAAUUCCUGGUGUAGCGGUGAAAUGCGCAGAUAUCAGGAGGAACACCGGUGGCGAAGGCGGAUCUCUGGGCCGAUACUGACGCUGAGGAGCGAAAGCGUGGGGAGCGAACAGG